GUCGUAAUGGCCGAGUAGUUAAGGCGUUUGACUCGAAAUCAAAUGGUCUCUGUCCGCACAGGUUCGAAUCCUGUCCACGACG
Molecule: transfer RNA, 82 nt
Filed under: Dreissena polymorpha
Lineage: Eukaryota; Metazoa; Mollusca; Bivalvia; Myida; Dreissenidae
Description: transfer RNA serine (anticodon CGA)
Rfam family: tRNA
About the family: Transfer RNA (tRNA) molecules are approximately 80 nucleotides in length.
Source: Rfam by way of RNAcentral